AUGGCCCGUCUUCCCUUAAGCGUGAGACGUCGAAGAAGAAAUGUAGCAUUUAUUAAUCUGAUGAGUGCCAUUAUGCUCGUAUACUAUUAUGUGUGGUUAAUCUUUGGAUUAGUUUAUAGAAGAAUGUGUUGGCAAAUAGAAAGGAGGCUUAGAAUUAGAGAGCUAAGAGGAGAGAGUUUGCAUAAACUAAUUGGUGAGAGUGACACAGCGUCUAUAAGUCAACUUCGUAUGGAUAGGAGAACAUUUCAUAUAUUAUGUGAGAUGGUGAGAGAUGUUGGUGGCCUAAUACAUGGAAUACAUCAUUGGAGGAGAUAG
RNAcentral lists this ribosomal RNA (315 nucleotides) under Triticum aestivum (bread wheat). RNAcentral's name for it is "partial small subunit ribosomal RNA". Lineage: Eukaryota; Viridiplantae; Streptophyta; Magnoliopsida; Poales; Poaceae. The record is from RNAcentral.